RNAcentral lists this ribosomal RNA (846 nucleotides) under Fusarium culmorum. RNAcentral's name for it is "LSU rRNA". It matches the Rfam family "Eukaryotic large subunit ribosomal RNA", at positions 70 to 947 of the family's 3401-position model. The record is from RNAcentral. Lineage: Eukaryota; Fungi; Ascomycota; Sordariomycetes; Hypocreales; Nectriaceae.
AGGGAUUGCCCUAGUAACGGCGAGUGAAGCGGCAACAGCUCAAAUUUGAAAUCUGGCUUUCGGGCCCGAGUUGUAAUUUGUAGAGGAUGAUUUUGAUGCGGUGCCUUCCGAGUUCCCUGGAACGGGACGCCAUAGAGGGUGAGAGCCCCGUCUGGUUGGAUGCCAAAUCUCUGUAAAUCUCCUUCGACGAGUCGAGUAGUUUGGGAAUGCUGCUCUAAAUGGGAGGUAUAUGUCUUCUAAAGCUAAAUACCGGCCAGAGACCGAUAGCGCACAAGUAGAGUGAUCGAAAGAUGAAAAGCACUUUGAAAAGAGAGUUAAAAAGUACGUGAAAUUGUUGAAAGGGAAGCGUUUAUGACCAGACUUGGGCUUGGUUAAUCAUCUGGGGUUCUCUCCAGUGCACUUUUCCAGCCCAGGCCAGCAUCAGUUUUCGCCGGGGGAUAAAGACUUCGGGAAUGUGGCUCCCCUCGGGGAGUGUUAUAGCCCGUUGUGUAAUACCCUGGUGGGGACUGAGGUUCGCGCUUCUGCAAGGAUGCUGGCGUAAUGGUCAUCAACGACCCGUCUUGAAACACGGACCAAGGAGUCGUCUUCGUAUGCGAGUGUUCGGGUGUCAAACCCCUACGCGUAAUGAAAGUGAACGCAGGUGAGAGCUUCGGCGCAUCAUCGACCGAUCCUGAUGUUCUCGGAUGGAUUUGAGUAAGAGCAUACGGGGCCGGACCCGAAAGAAGGUGAACUAUGCCUGUGUAGGGUGAAGCCAGAGGAAACUCUGGUGGAGGCUCGCAGCGGUUCUGACGUGCANUCGAUCGUCAAACAUGGGCAUGGGGGCGAANGACUAAUCGAACCUUCUAG